GAUAAACGCUGGCGGCGUGCCUAAUACAUGCAAGUCGAACGCAGUGGGGACGGGUGAGUAACACGUGGGUAACCUCCCAUCAGAGGGGAUACCACUUGGAAACAGGUGCUAAACCGAUACUGAUGGAUGGACCCGCGGUGCAUUAGGUAGGUGGUGAGGUAACGGCUCACCAAGGCCACGAUGCAUAGCCGGCCUGAGAGGGUGAUCGGCCACACUGGAACUGAGACACGGCCCAGACUCCUACGGGAGGCAGCAGUGGGGAAUCUUCGGCAAUGGGCGAAAGUCGGACCGAGCAACGCCGCGUGAGUGAAGAAGGUUUUCGGAUCGUAAAGCACUGUUGUUAGAGAAGCGGUAACUAACCAGGAAGCCACGGCUAACUACGUGCCAGCAGCCGCGGUAAUUC
RNAcentral lists this ribosomal RNA (403 nucleotides) under uncultured bacterium. Its description in RNAcentral is "partial 16S ribosomal RNA". It matches the Rfam family "Bacterial small subunit ribosomal RNA", at positions 28 to 526 of the family's 1533-position model. The record is from RNAcentral.